Collybiopsis luxurians FD-317 M1 is the source of this 99-nucleotide non-coding RNA. NCBI's taxonomy places the organism in Eukaryota, Fungi, Basidiomycota, Agaricomycetes, Agaricales, Omphalotaceae. The record is from the annotation of a GenBank genome assembly.
GCAUUAAUGGGGUAGUGGUAACCUGGGUCGUUGCCAUGACUCGUUGAUGUUGGGUUUUCGGUUUUCGACCCGCCGGGGGUUCGAUUUCCUCUUAAUGCA